This 69-nucleotide transfer RNA is filed under the name Marmota monax (woodchuck). RNAcentral's name for it is "tRNA.Ala". Lineage: Eukaryota; Metazoa; Chordata; Mammalia; Rodentia; Sciuridae. The record is from RNAcentral.
GGGUUGUGGCUCCGUGGUAGAGUGCUUGCCUAGCACAUGUGAGGCACUGGGUUCGAUCCUCAGCACCCA